UACAUAGGUCUCAAGCGUUGUUCGGAAUCACUGGGCGUAAAGCGUACGCAGGCUGUUCGUUAAGUCGGGUGUGAAAUCCCGGGGCUCAACCCCGGAAUUGCGCCCGAAACUGGCGAGCUUGAGUGCGGGAGAGGGAAGCGGAAUUCCUGGUGUAGAGGUGAAAUUCGUAGAUAUCAGGAGGAACACCGGUGGCGAAAGCGGCCUCCUGGCCCGACACUGACGCUCAUGUACGAAAGCGUGGGGAGCAAACAGG
RNAcentral lists this ribosomal RNA (253 nucleotides) under uncultured bacterium. RNAcentral's name for it is "partial 16S ribosomal RNA". It matches the Rfam family "Bacterial small subunit ribosomal RNA", at positions 524 to 776 of the family's 1533-position model. The record is from RNAcentral.